This 303-nucleotide ribosomal RNA is filed under the name Triticum aestivum (bread wheat). RNAcentral's name for it is "partial small subunit ribosomal RNA". Lineage: Eukaryota; Viridiplantae; Streptophyta; Magnoliopsida; Poales; Poaceae. The record is from RNAcentral.
AUGGACUAUGAAACCAUGCCAGAAAAAACUUACAAACCUGCAGUCUUGAUUGCCGGUUAUGACACGGAUCCCGAUGGUGUUAAGUAUUGGCGCUUCAAAAACUCAUGGGGAGAGGGUUGGGGCGAGGGUGGGUUUGGGAGGACCCGCAGAUAUGUUGCCGACAAGAGAGGUGUCUUGGGUAACGCGCGAGCCGAGCGGGACGUUGAGGAGAGCACUCGUUGCGUCUCAGACGACGCCCCCUUGAAACCCUAUAGCGGACGCAACAUUUCGGCUCUCAAGUGCAUCUGCACCCGAGGUGAAUAG